RNAcentral lists this ribosomal RNA (253 nucleotides) under uncultured bacterium. RNAcentral describes it as "partial 16S ribosomal RNA". It matches the Rfam family "Bacterial small subunit ribosomal RNA", at positions 524 to 776 of the family's 1533-position model. The record is from RNAcentral.
UACAGAGGUCUCGAGCGUUAGGCGGAAUCACUGGGCUUAAAGCGUGUGUAGGCGGAUCGUUAAGUACCUUGUGAAAUCCCACGGCUUAACCGUGGAACUGCUUGGUAUACUGGCGGUCUUGAGCCAGCUAGGGGCUACCGGAACAAAUGGUGGAGCGGUGAAAUACGUAGAUAUCAUUUGGAACGCCAAUGGUGAAAACAGGUAGCUGGGGCUGUGCUGACGCUGAGACACGAAAGCCAGGGGAGCAAACGGG